Molecule: small RNA, 429 nt
Filed under: Pan troglodytes (chimpanzee)
Lineage: Eukaryota; Metazoa; Chordata; Mammalia; Primates; Hominidae
Description: processed transcript
Source: RNAcentral
GUCGGUGGCUGCUGGGCUGGCGGGGCGCAGGCCGCGGGACCCGAGCCCGGGGGAGCGAGAGAGCGGAGGCGCCGAGGAUCCGAUUCAUUCGCUGGGGAGACCUAUGGGCCGAAGCCGUGUAGAUGCGUUUUAAGCAGGGGCCUCGGCUCCGCAACUGCCACUCCUCCUCGGGGUGUUGCACAAGUUUCGAGGUCACCGGCGACCCCCCCUAGCAGCGCUCCUGGCUCUGGCCCCCGCGAAGGAGGACGGAGUUUGGACGAGGUAGCUGCCUUCUUCGUGGCUGACCUGGGUGCCAUAGUGAGGAAGCACUUUUGCUUUCUGAAGUGCCUGCCACGAGUCCAGCCCUUUUACACUGUCAAGUGCAACAGCAGCCCAGGUGUGCUAAAGGUUCUGGCCCAGCUGGGGCUGGGCUUUAGCUGUGCCAACAAG